This is a long non-coding RNA of Siniperca chuatsi (mandarin fish), 2240 nucleotides long. RefSeq lists it as uncharacterized. The transcript has 5 exons. NCBI's taxonomy places the organism in Eukaryota, Metazoa, Chordata, Actinopteri, Centrarchiformes, Sinipercidae. The record is from RefSeq and is a predicted model, not a curated record.
GUGAUCCAAAACAAUGCUGUUUCAGCCGGUAACUAUGGCUCCAUGUUUGAGCCCGAGUCUGAUACUGAAACACAGGCAGAACAACCUGAACCCGCUUCACAACACUUCAGAGUGCUCGGGGCACGAUGAUGAAGAAAGGGAACGGCUACAGAGCAAUCCAGGAUUAACUGAUUUCGAAGAUUCACUAAAGAGAGACCUAAGAACUGGUGUACAAAGAGCCUUCACUGAAGGUGUAUUUGACCCAGGCACUGACUUCAAAACAACAGUUGUUCCCUGGGUUCUUCCUAAGGCUGCCCACUGCUCCUAAAAGUUAAGGUUUCACUGCCUUCACGGGGAGCUGCGGAUGCAGCCUGAAAGAGUCUGCACCAUAAUAGCAGCCUGCGCUGUCCUCCACAUCUGUGUCACGCAACACCAUCAGCUGGUGCAGGAGGAAGAUGUGCAGCCUGUGGUCCCUGCAGUGCAUGAAGACGUCGGUGCACGACUAGUCUGUACACACAUUGUUAACGCCUUAUAAGUUCAGACAUAUCGCUCUUACUAUUUCAAAACAUCUUAAUCAGCUCCUUAUUGUUGAAUUAUUUCCAAUGUAUUGCUUCAGUUCAAAUAAUUUCCCGUUUAAUUGUCUGCUUGUUGUAAACCGUAUAUAAAGGAUAUAUAAAGAAAACAAAUUUAAAGAAUGGACAGCAAUGAUUGUAAAUCAAUAUUUUGUUGUUUGUUGAUUGUGGUUGAUUAUUAUUGUUAUUAUUAUUAUUAUUCUUAUUGUUAUCAAGUUGAUUUGAUUUCAUCCUGUCUCCUCCGUUUUUUUGGUGGUGCUCCGCUGCUGUCAUGAAGAAUUUGUGGAGGAGUGGCAUAGGUCGAGUAUGAAAUCAGAUAGUGAAUUCAUUAAAUCUGGCCUUUACCAUUAUGUGACAAUUUCUACGACUUGGCCUAACGUUAUUACACUGUAGGUAUAAGCAGAGUUUAUUGGGAGAUUAUAUUAUUAGUUCAUUUAUUAUUAAAGUAAUUAACUAAAUAAAUAAAUGGGUAGUUUAUGUGGAAUACACACAGUAACAUUACUGCUCUUGACGCUUGUAAUGUUAACUUGAACCACCAUCCAUCUCUGGAGAAACAUCACUCUCUUCAAGCGGUUGGUCAAUACUGCCGCUUGCCACACUGACCAAACCAGUAAAAGCAAGGGAAUCUUCUCCAAAAACAUCAGCAAUUAUAUCACUAUAUACAGACGUUUUCGGGGGAGGACCUCUGCAGGUUUGAUGAUUUGAUAAAAUACCUCCAUAGUCCAGAUUCAUAUAAUAUAUGUAGUCAAUACUUGGAAGGAACUGAAUAAAAGGUAUACAGUGUAUUUUUUGGCUAUGGUGUGAAUGGGCAUGAUUCCACUGAAUAUACAUUGUUGAACUGAUUAAUGAAGGAAAGGCAAAAUGGAUGAGAUGGAGGAAAGCAUGUAUGGUGCUAAUUGUUGUUUACUCAUUAUGUCGUCACCAGUCAACAUUUGUGUGAAAUCUGGAAUCGCCCAGUUUAUUCUUAAAUUAUGGCUUAAAACCUCUUUUGAGGUCACAAUAACCUUUGAGUCAAAAGUGUCACCUAUUCAGUGUCUGACCAACUGUGAAAUAUGGUCAGAAGCUUCCCUUCAGUUCCUGAGUUAUGGUGUUGAAUAAAAAACAAAAAAGUCUUUUUCCAGGACAUUAUGAUGUCACAGUAAAGUUGACCAUUGACCUUAUGAAUAUAAAAUUGCAUCACUGUCACCAAGUCAUUGUCCGACCAACUGUGAAAUAUGGUAAUCAAUUCUUUAGUUAUGGCCAGAAAUCGUGUUUUGUGAGGUUGACAGUUACCUUGACCAAAUUCUAAUCAGUUCAUCCUUGUGUCCAAGUGGACGUUUGUGCCAAAUUUGAAGAAAUUCCUUCCAGGUGUUCCUGAGAUAUCGCAUUCAUGAGAAUGGGACAUAUGGAAACAUAAGCGCCAGUUAGAAUCAUAGCUAGGCUAGCGUUUAGCAGAAGCCUGGAACUAUGCCAAUAGGAGGCAGCGUAUGGGCGGGUCUACGACUCUUCUUCCAGUACAGACUGCAGUUCCGUCAGCUCAUGCGAGUGAAUCUCGCCAUCUGCUGGUGUAGCUAGUAACUGUACCUCACAUUGCAGAUUCCUUUUUACAGAUCUGUUGCGGUACGACUUGAACAAAAUUCACACAAAUAAAUAAAUAAUAAUAAUAAUAAAUAAAUAGGAAGGAAGUCACAAAUGUCACGUGACCCACAA